Molecule: ribosomal RNA, 198 nt
Filed under: uncultured bacterium
Lineage: Bacteria
Description: partial 16S ribosomal RNA
Rfam family: Bacterial small subunit ribosomal RNA
Source: RNAcentral
ACGCUCGACACCUACUGGAGGCAGCAGUGGGGAAUAUUGCACAAUGGAGGAAACUCUGAUGCAGCGAUGCCGCGUGAGGGAAGAAGGUUUUCGGAUUGUAAACCUCUGUCUUUGGGGACGAUAAUGACGGUACCCAAGGAGGAAGCUCCGGCUAACUACGUGCAAGCAGCCGCGGUAAUCUGAGCGGGCUGGCAAGGC